RNAcentral lists this ribosomal RNA (468 nucleotides) under uncultured bacterium. RNAcentral's name for it is "partial 16S ribosomal RNA". It matches the Rfam family "Bacterial small subunit ribosomal RNA", at positions 28 to 507 of the family's 1533-position model. The record is from RNAcentral.
GACGAACGCUGGCGGCGUGCUUAACACAUGCAAGUCGAACGGAAAGGCCCUGCUUUUGUGGGGUGCUCGAGUGGCGAACGGGUGAGUAACACGUGAGUAUCCUGCCCUUGACUUUGGGAUAACUUCAGGAAACUGGGGCUAUUACCGGAUAGGAGCUCCUGCUGCGUGGUGUGGGUUGGAAAGUUUCGGCGGUUGUGGAUGGACUCGCGGCUUAUCAGCUUGUUGGUGGGGUAGUGGCUUACCAAGGCUUUGACGGGUAGCCGGCCUGAGAGGGUGACCGGCCACAUUGGGACUGAGAUACGGCCCAGACUCCUACGGGAGGCAGCAGUGGGGAAUAUUGCACAAUGGGCGGAAGCCUGAUGCAGCAACGCCGCGUGCGGGAUGACGGCCUUCGGGUUGUAAACCGCUUUCGCCUGUGACGAAGCGUGAGUGACGGUAAUGGGUAAAGAAGCACCGGCUAACUACGUG